Molecule: ribosomal RNA, 319 nt
Filed under: uncultured eukaryote
Lineage: Eukaryota
Description: partial 18S ribosomal RNA
Rfam family: Eukaryotic small subunit ribosomal RNA
Source: RNAcentral
CCCUUAGAUGUUCUGGGCAGCACCCGCGCUACAAUGGUCUUCGCAAACGGAUGCAUUCUCGAAGGAGAAUGCCAAUCUUGGAAUCUAUGCCUUGGUCGGGACAGUUGCUUGCAAUUUUUCGACUCGAACCAGGAAUUCCUUGUAAUCGUGAUUCAUCACAUCACGAUGAAUACGUCCCUGCCCUUUGUACACACCGCCCGUCGCUCCUACCGAUCGAAGAGUUAGGUGAAUUGUUUUGAUCGAUAAGAUUUGACUAUGGUCAACUCUCGUUGUGAAAUUCUGUGAAUCUGACUGUUUAGAGGAAGGAAAAGUCGUAACA